Molecule: unclassified non-coding RNA, 301 nt
Filed under: uncultured Agaricales
Lineage: Eukaryota; Fungi; Basidiomycota; Agaricomycetes; Agaricales
Description: sequence contains ITS2
Rfam family: 5.8S ribosomal RNA (bases 1-52)
Source: RNAcentral
AACGCACCUUGCGCUCUUUGGUAUUCCGAAGAGCAUGCCUGUUUGAGUGUCAUUAAAUCAUCAAAUUGUUCAAUUUUAUUAUUGAAUAUAUUUGGAUGUGGAAGUGUUGUUGGCCCCCUCGGUCAGCUCUUCUAAAAUGUAUUAGCCGGAAGCUUUUGUAACCGUCUAUUGGUGUGAUAAUUAUCUAUACCAUUGACAGCUACACACUUAGUAUAAGCAUUCUGCUCCUAACCCGUCUGUGUAUGCGGACAAUCUUUGACAAUUUGACCUCAAAUCAGGUAGGACUACCCGCUGAACUUAA